AAGAAUUUCCUUUUUUUCCUCUCUCUCUCUUUAUUAGCUAAUGGCAAAGAGAAAUGUGGUUUUGGCAACAGGUUUUCAUUCCUUGAUUUGGAUACUGGACUACUGACUGUUCUCUUGAAAAUUUUAACUGCAAUAUGCAAGGAGCAGUUUCAAGAAAGGGAGAGGAAGACCCUAAUCAUGUGUAAGGUCCCUAACUUGAAAUUCUAAGUUAAUGUUGGAAGUGAGGAACCUAGGAACUGAU
Molecule: long non-coding RNA, 241 nt
Organism: Stegodyphus dumicola
Lineage: Eukaryota; Metazoa; Arthropoda; Arachnida; Araneae; Eresidae
Source: RefSeq, a predicted model, not a curated record